AAUUGAAUUAUUUAAUGGACAUAUACAUAAGUUAGAUGUUUAUGUACAUGAGUAUAUACCUAUACAUAAAUAAAUAGGAUGCUCAUUCGCAUAUUAAUAUGUACAUAUGUAGGUAUGUAUAUGAAUGUACAAUGUACAUUGGACAACUCAUGUCAUCAUAAAUGGUGUUAACUUUGUUCAUUUAUUAAUGCAUAAUGACGAAUGUAUUUAGUGUAAGGAUUAAUUGCCAGUAAUUUAUUAUUGCAAUUAAAAUGUUUGAAAAAGGCUUGUUGAGGUUAGUGACGAAUGGUCACGCUGUCACAAAAGAUUACUUACAUAACUUAUCAACUGAGGAUGUAUGAGUAACCUGUCAGGUCUACAUACAUACUUAUGUAGCUAUUACAUAAAUAGUUAUGACCACGUGUGAUUACAAUUUUUUAGAUUAGGAGUAGCCAUAAACAUGGAUACGAUUUCAAUACGGGUGUUAUAAAGGCUAACUGGCUGGAAGAGGAUCGAAAUACGCAUGUAUUAUCUAUUUCGUUUGGUGUAAGUACAAUUAUGCAUUUUGCCAUACAUUGUAAAUACAUACUACGGACCCAGGAACUUUUUGUUGUAUAACUUUUUGUGAAUGAGUCAAGCAUUACACAUGUACAAACAUAUGUAUCACAACUUGACACAAAAUUAUUGAGCAUUGCAUAGUCUCAAAGCUAAAAUAAAUAUGUAAAUAUGACAAAAAUAUUAGAAAAUUUACAUGAACACUUUUAUGGAUAUGUAAACUCAGAACCCGAACAAAGAUUUCAGGAUCCCCAUCUAAAGAUAAUAAAUAAAAUAUCUAAUUUCAAUAUUUUCUAAUUUUAUGUAAGACAGUAAAUUACGAUAAUGGAUGGUACUAGAUGAGAAAUAAUUAAGACUUGCAAAGGCAAGAGUUGUACAUUGUCCAAGAUUGAAAAUUAGAAUAAUUUAUUUCGCAAAAUUUGGUCCAUUAAAUAAUCACUAUAAAGGAUGUAACAAUUAAUAAAAAUCAUUGCCAAAGUUAAAUAACCUGCAUAGCGAGAAUAUUUCAUACAGCAUUAGCUGACUAAUUAAUUGUGUAUCUAAAGAGGAAGCAAAAGGUUGUUACCCUGCCGGUCUGGAAUUUCUGCGGACAUAAAAUUCUUAUUUAAUUCAACUCUACACAAAUUCAGCUUCCCGGUAUAAAUAACUUAACUCCCAAUCGGACAAACAAUUCGGAAUUCCGAGCAAAAGACUUGCCUAGACGGGAGCAGUAAUCAAAUGAAAGAGCCAUGCAAAGGCGCCAUCGACCACUGUGACGCUGGUUGGCGAAUGAUCCACGAAGAGAUACCCUACGCCAUACCGCAAUGUUACUGCGUCCGGCCCUUCAACUAUGAAGAAGUGGAAGAGAUCAGGGCCUGCAAGUGCGAAAACUUCCUGGACCAAUGCCUCCGUCAGUAUGGAAUGUUGUACUCGUGCGGAAGGGCGACGGAGGAAUGCUUCGAAGAAAGGAUAAAGAAGGAAUGCGCUAAUAAGAUAAACAACAAUGAGAAGGAGUACGAGAUCCUUUGCAGUUUUGAGGAUAAGGCCCGUGAAAAAUCUGAGAAAUCUGGUGGAGGCAGGGCCCGACCUAAUGUCUACCUGGACACAAAGUUUGGGGCGCCGCUACCGAUAGUCGGAGGUCAUGAUGACCAUCCUCUCCUUGAAUAAAAUCAUAUUUUGAAUAAUUUUUCACAAAGUAUGUAUUGGCUGAAUAGUUAAUUGUGUACCAAUAAAUAGGAAGAAAAAGGUUGUUAUAGGCCCGGAA
This is a long non-coding RNA of Folsomia candida, 1777 nucleotides long. RefSeq lists it as uncharacterized. The record is from RefSeq and is a predicted model, not a curated record. Lineage: Eukaryota; Metazoa; Arthropoda; Collembola; Entomobryomorpha; Isotomidae. The transcript is spliced from 2 exons.